UGCAGUCGAGCGGUAACARAAAGUAGCUUGCUACUYUGSUGACGAGCGGCGGACGGGUGAGUAAUGCUUGGGAACAUGCCUUGAGGUGGGGGACAACAGUUGGAAACGACUGCUAAUACCGCAUAAUGUCUACGGACCAAAGGGGGCUUCGGCUCUCGCCUUUAGAUUGGCCCAAGUGGGAUUAGCUAGUUGGUGAGGUAAUGGCUCACCAAGGCGACGAUCCCUAGCUGGUUUGAGAGGAUGAUCAGCCACACUGGGACUGAGACACGGCCCAGACUCCUACGGGAGGCAGCAGUGGGGAAUAUUGCACAAUGGGCGCAAGCCUGAUGCAGCCAUGCCGCGUGUGUGAAGAAGGCCUUC
Molecule: ribosomal RNA, 360 nt
Filed under: Pseudoalteromonas arctica
Lineage: Bacteria; Pseudomonadati; Pseudomonadota; Gammaproteobacteria; Alteromonadales; Pseudoalteromonadaceae
Description: bacterial SSU rRNA
Rfam family: Bacterial small subunit ribosomal RNA
Source: RNAcentral